GCCCGGCUAGCUCAAUCGGUAGAGCGUGAGACUCUUAAGUCUGGUGCAAAAUAGCAGAAUUCGUGAUCUCAAGGUUGCGGGUUCGACCCCCGCGUUGGGCU
This is a transfer RNA of Glarea lozoyensis ATCC 20868, 101 nucleotides long. It matches the Rfam family "tRNA". From Rfam's summary of the family: Transfer RNA (tRNA) molecules are approximately 80 nucleotides in length. Their secondary structure includes four short double-helical elements and three loops (D, anti-codon, and T loops). Further hydrogen bonds mediate the characteristic L-shaped molecular structure. tRNAs have two regions of fundamental functional importance: the anti-codon, which is responsible for specific mRNA codon recognition, and the 3' end, to which the tRNAs corresponding amino acid is attached (by aminoacyl-tRNA synthetases). tRNAs cope with the degeneracy of the genetic code in two manners: having more than one tRNA (with a specific anti-codon) for a particular amino acid; and 'wobble' base-pairing, i.e. permitting non-standard base-pairing at the 3rd anti-codon position. Lineage: Eukaryota; Fungi; Ascomycota; Leotiomycetes; Helotiales; Helotiaceae. The record is from Rfam.